Molecule: ribosomal RNA, 345 nt
Filed under: Temora discaudata
Lineage: Eukaryota; Metazoa; Arthropoda; Copepoda; Calanoida; Temoridae
Description: partial 28S ribosomal RNA
Source: RNAcentral
GAGUACGUGAAACUGUGCGGCAGUAAACACAGCCUUCCUCGAAGUUGUCCGGGGAGACCCAGCCUUAGGGCGUGUCGGCUCCUGGCACCUGAUCAGCAAUGACUGGUGUCGGGGUGGUUCGGCGCGCCCGCGGGUGCAUCUAUCCCCGGAUUUACGGCAGGAACUGUUGGGACUGGACCAAGGGCCUGGGAAGAAGUUUUCGCUCCGGCGUCAGCUCCCGGUGUCCCGGCUUCGGACCCGACAGGCCUUGUGGUCGACUUGUACAGCAAGCAACGCUUCUGUUGCGGUCGGCCCUUCCCUGUCGAGUAGGUCGGCGGAGGCUGUGACCCGUCUUGAAACACGGAC